UACAGGGGGUGCAAACGUUGCUCGGAAUCAUUGGGCGUAAAGCGCACGUAGGCGGUUCGUUAUGUCGGAUGUGAAAGCCCUUGGCUUAACCGAGGAAGUGCAUCCGAAACUGGCGAGCUAGAGUACUAAAGAGGAUCGCGGAAUUCCCGGUGUAGAGGUGAAAUUCGUAGAUAUCGGGAGGAACACCGGUGGCGAAGGAGGCGAUCUGGGUAGAUACUGACGCUGAGGUGCGAAAGCGUGGGGAGCAAACAGG
RNAcentral lists this ribosomal RNA (253 nucleotides) under uncultured bacterium. RNAcentral describes it as "partial 16S ribosomal RNA". It matches the Rfam family "Bacterial small subunit ribosomal RNA", at positions 524 to 776 of the family's 1533-position model. The record is from RNAcentral.